AGUGAACGCUGGCGGCAGGCCUAAUACAUGCAAGUCGAACGGCAGCACAGUGGAGCUUGCUCCAUGGGUGGCGAGUGGCGGGACGGGUGAGGAAUACAUGGGAAAUCUGCCCAGUCGUGGGGAUAACGUAUGGAAACGUACGCUAAUACCGCAUGCGCCCUUCGGGGGGAAAGUCGGGGGACCGCAAGGCCUGACGCGAUUGGAUGAGCCCAUGUUCGAUUAGCUAGUUGGCGGGUAACGGCCCACCAAGGCGACGAUCGAUAGCUGGUCUGAGAGGAUGAUCAGCCACACUGGAACUGAGACACGGUCCAGACUCCUACGGGAGGCAGCAGUAGGGAAUAUUGGACAAUGGGCGCAAGCCUGAUCCAGCCAUGCCGCGUGAGUGAAGAAGGCCCUCGGGU
This 401-nucleotide ribosomal RNA is filed under the name uncultured bacterium. RNAcentral describes it as "bacterial SSU rRNA". It matches the Rfam family "Bacterial small subunit ribosomal RNA", at positions 29 to 423 of the family's 1533-position model. The record is from RNAcentral.